UGGGGGAUAUUGCACAAUGGGCGAAAGCCUGAUGCAGCGACGCCGCGUGGGGGAUGAAGGCUUUCGGGUUGUAAACCUCUUUCGCUAUCGAACAAGGCCCGCUUAGGGUGGGUUGAGGGUAGGUGGAGAAGAAGCGCCGGCUAACUACGUGCCAGAAGCCGCGGUAAUACGUAGGGCGCGAGCGUUGUCCGGAAUUAUUGGGCGUAAAGGGCUUGUAGGCGGCUUGUUGCGCCUGCUGUGAAAACGCGGGGCUUAACUUCGCGCGUGCAGUGGGUACGGGCAGGCUUGAGUGUGGUAGGGGUGACUGGAAUUCCAGGUGUAGCGGUGGAAUGCGCAGAUAUCUGGAGGAACACCGAUGGCGAAGGCAGGUCACUGGGCCAUUACUGACGCUGAGGAGCGAAAGCAUGGGUAGCGAACAGG
RNAcentral lists this ribosomal RNA (420 nucleotides) under bacterium. RNAcentral describes it as "partial 16S ribosomal RNA". It matches the Rfam family "Bacterial small subunit ribosomal RNA", at positions 355 to 776 of the family's 1533-position model. The record is from RNAcentral.